GAUGAACGCUAGCGGCAGGCCUAAUACAUGCAAGUCGAACGGGUAGUAGCGAUACUAUUAGUGGCAGACGGGUGCGUAACACGUAUGUAAUCUACCUUUCACUGGGGGACAACUUAGGGAAACUUGAGCUAAAACCGCAUAAUACGAGAUAAGGCAUCUUAUUUUGUUAAAAUCUGAGGAGGUGAGAGAUGAGCAUGCGACCGAUUAGCUAGUUGGUGCGGUAAAGGCGUACCAAGGCGACGAUCGGUAGGGGAUCUGAGAGGAUGACCCCCCACACUGGUACUGAGAUACGGACCAGACUCCUACGGGAGGCAGCAGUAGGGAAUAUUGGGCAAUGGAAGGAAUUCUGACCCAGCCAUGCCGCGUGCAGGAAGAAGGCGCUAUGCGUUGUAAACUGCUUUUAACAGGGAAUAAAAGAGGGAUGCGUCCUUGAUUGAAUGUACUGUGAAUAAG
RNAcentral lists this ribosomal RNA (453 nucleotides) under uncultured bacterium. Its description in RNAcentral is "bacterial SSU rRNA". It matches the Rfam family "Bacterial small subunit ribosomal RNA", at positions 28 to 490 of the family's 1533-position model. The record is from RNAcentral.